RNAcentral lists this small nuclear RNA (104 nucleotides) under Trifolium pratense (red clover). Its description in RNAcentral is "snRNA U2". It matches the Rfam family "U2 spliceosomal RNA". From Rfam's summary of the family: U2 is a small nuclear RNA (snRNA) component of the spliceosome (involved in pre-mRNA splicing). Complementary binding between U2 snRNA (in an area lying towards the 5' end but 3' to hairpin I) and the branchpoint sequence (BPS) of the intron results the bulging out of an unpaired adenosine, on the BPS, which initiates a nucleophilic attack at the intronic 5' splice site, thus starting the first of two transesterification reactions that mediate splicing. Lineage: Eukaryota; Viridiplantae; Streptophyta; Magnoliopsida; Fabales; Fabaceae. The record is from RNAcentral.
AUACCUUCCUCGACCUUUUGGCUAAGAUCAAGUGUAGUAUCUAUUCUUAUCAGUUUAAGCUCUGCUUGGAUCUAGUACACUAGAUAUCGUUUUUGCGACAUUAU